Molecule: long non-coding RNA, 346 nt
Organism: Bos indicus x Bos taurus (hybrid cattle)
Lineage: Eukaryota; Metazoa; Chordata; Mammalia; Artiodactyla; Bovidae
Source: Ensembl
AUGGGAAACUCGGGUCAGCCAGGAACCUGGAUGCUGCCACCUAAAUGUGGGGAAUGAAUGCACGACAGUGAGAAAGGGAACCAGACCCACUCCCAGGAGAGCAUGAGCGCUCAUGAGAACGAUCCAUCAGAGGUUGGAGACUGGAUGUGUGUGUGGCCAAGAAGGGCCUAGGGCUGGCCUUGCUCUGGAACCUACCUCCGUGACCCUCAAAUGCUUGGGCAGCAGAAAGCCUCAACCCCAGAACACACACUCCCUCCUGACUUUCACAACACACGGUCCACACGGCUCUCCUGCUCUCGAGGUGGGUGACUGGGGAAGCAGGCAUCUCUGUGGUCAGCUCGGAUGU